RNAcentral lists this ribosomal RNA (466 nucleotides) under uncultured bacterium. RNAcentral describes it as "bacterial SSU rRNA". It matches the Rfam family "Bacterial small subunit ribosomal RNA", at positions 338 to 795 of the family's 1533-position model. The record is from RNAcentral.
CCUANGGGAGGCUGCAGUCGAGAAUCUUUCGCAAUGGGGGAAACCCUGACGAAGCGACGCCGCGUGCAGGAUGACGGCCUUCGGGUUGUAAACUGCUGUCGGCCAUGACGAAUUGUGUAUCGGUGAACAACUGAUACACUUGACGGUAGUGGCAGAGGAAGCAACGGCUAACUCUGUGCCAGCAGCCGCGGUAAUACAGAGGUUGCAAGCGUUGUUCGGAUUUAUUGGGUGUAAAGGGUGUGUAGGCGGUUGGAUAAGUCAGAUGUGAAAUCCUGGAGCUUAACUCCAGAACUGCAUUUGAUACUGUCCAGCUAGAGUACGUUAGAGGAAAGGGGAAUUCCCGGUGUAAGAGUGAAAUCUUCAGAUAUCGGGAGGAACACCAGUGGCGAAGGCGCCUUUCUGGGACGAUACUGACGCUGAAACACGAAAGCUAGGGGAGCGAACAGGAUUAGAUACCCCUNUANUC